RNAcentral lists this non-coding RNA (148 nucleotides) under Homo sapiens (human). Lineage: Eukaryota; Metazoa; Chordata; Mammalia; Primates; Hominidae. The record is from Rfam by way of RNAcentral.
GCUGGGUGUGGUGGCGGGUGCCUGUAAUCCCAGCUACUCGGGAAGCUGAGGCAGGAGAAUCACUUGAACCUAGGAGGCAGAGGUUGCAGUGAGCCAAGAUGGUGCCACUGCAUUCCAGCCUAGGCGACAGAGUGAGACUCUGUCUCAA